This 468-nucleotide ribosomal RNA is filed under the name uncultured bacterium. Its description in RNAcentral is "partial 16S ribosomal RNA". It matches the Rfam family "Bacterial small subunit ribosomal RNA", at positions 28 to 507 of the family's 1533-position model. The record is from RNAcentral.
GACGAACGCUGGCGGCGUGCUUAACACAUGCAAGUCGAACGGAAAGGCCCUGCUUUUGUGGGGUGCUCGAGUGGCGAAAGGGUGAGUAACACGUGAGUAACCUGCCCUUGACUUUGGGAUAACUUCAGGAAACUGGGGCUAAUACCGGAUAGGAGCUCCUGCUGCAUGGUGGGGGUUGGAAAGUUUCGGCGGUUGGGGAUGGACUCGCGGCUUAUCAGCUUGUUGGUGGGGUAGUGGCUUACCAAGGCUUUGACGGGUAGCCGGCCUGAGAGGGUGACCGGCCACAUUGGGACUGAGAUACGGCCCAGACUCCUACGGGAGGCAGCAGUGGGGAUUAUUGCACAAUGGGCGGAAGCCUGAUGCAGCAACGCCGCGUGCGGGAUGACGGCCUUCGGGUUGUAAACCGCUUUCGCCUGUGACGAAGCGUGAGUGACGGUAAUGGGUAAAGAAGCACCGGCUAACUACGUG